RNAcentral lists this ribosomal RNA (253 nucleotides) under uncultured bacterium. RNAcentral describes it as "partial 16S ribosomal RNA". It matches the Rfam family "Bacterial small subunit ribosomal RNA", at positions 524 to 776 of the family's 1533-position model. The record is from RNAcentral.
UACGUAGGGGGCAAGCGUUGUCCGGAAUCAUUGGGCGUAAAGAGCGUGUAGGCGGUCCGUUAAGUCGGCUGUGAAAGUCCAGGGCUCAACCCUGGGAUGCCGGCCGAUACUGGCGGACUAGAGUCCGGAAGAGGAGAGUGGAAUUCCUGGUGUAGCGGUGAAAUGCGCAGAUAUCAGGAAGAACACCAAUGGCGAAGGCAGCUCUCUGGGACGGUACUGACGCUGAGACGCGAAAGCGUGGGGAGCGAACAGG